UACGGGGGGGGCAAGCGUUGUUCGGAAUUACUGGGCGUAAAGGGCUCGUAGGCGGCCAACUAAGUCAGACGUGAAAUCCCUCGGCUUAACCGGGGAACUGCGUCUGAUACUGGAUGGCUUGAGAUUGGGAGAGGGAUGCGGAAUUCCAGGUGUAGCGGUGAAAUGCGUAGAUAUCUGGAGGAACACCGGUGGCGAAGGCGGUUCUCUGGGCCUGACCUGACGCUGAGGAGCGAAAGCGUGGGGAGCGAACAGG
Molecule: ribosomal RNA, 253 nt
Filed under: uncultured bacterium
Lineage: Bacteria
Description: partial 16S ribosomal RNA
Rfam family: Bacterial small subunit ribosomal RNA
Source: RNAcentral